AAAAAUACCAUAUAUUAUAUAAAAGUAUAAAAGUAACCGUACAAGUAACAAGUUCAGUGAACAAAUGUAUAUAAAAAAUAUCAAGCUACAGAUUCUUUGUGCUCUGAUAAUGGAGAUCAACAGAAUUAUUUGAAAGGCGGGAUAAUGAUGCCAUCUGCUUCAUCAUACGCCUCAUCCCCUCUUGCAUAGAGCGAAGCUGCUCUUCACUUUGUUGCUUGAGGCAUGAUACCUUUUCCUCAACGCGUUGCUGAAGAAUUCAUUCUUGAUUUUUCUUCAUGCGCAUGAUCUCCUCCUCAAGCACUAUAAUGCGCUCAUCAGCAACAUGAUCUGUCACCGUAGCUGUCCUGUGUGAAGUGGCAAAGCUGUUAAAUAAGUCUGGACACAAAGUUGAAGCAUGAGAGCCCAAACCGUACACGCGCCGCUUCUUCUCUCCACCCACAGUAUCCAAGUAUAGGCGAUUGACAUUGAUUGAGAUCUCUUGUGAAUCGUCAUCUGUGAGUUCGAAGUAGCAUUAGUAGUAGUAGCAGCAACCACUAUAGCCUCCAUUUGAUCCUUGAUUAGCUCCAAUGUUGCCACUGGCGGAUAGGCACAGAUUCAUCACCUAAAUCCCUUGCAGUAACCUUAUCGUCUUCUUGGCAUCAGCGUUUUAAGCAUCUUGGACUGAAAAGGCAGAGCUUUAUGAAGGAAAGUAGCAGCUAGGCUCAACGGUAAGACACUCAUUCACCAAGUGUCGUGCCUGGGCCGUUGAACUCUAGAAUAAUCAAUCUCCACCCAAAAAAUGGUGACCGACUGAAAGAGAGGGAAGAAAGGGAUCGAAACUUGAAGGAGUGAGGAGCGGCGGUGGAAAACAGAUGAGUGUUUCAGGUAGGGAUGGCAGUGGGUCGGGCUUUUGCAGCUACAAUCAGACGGAAUCUUCCUAGGACGGACGGGUUUGGACAUAAUAGGAUUUGGGAAGAUUUGGAGUUUGAAA
Molecule: unclassified non-coding RNA, 970 nt
Filed under: Hevea brasiliensis (rubber tree)
Lineage: Eukaryota; Viridiplantae; Streptophyta; Magnoliopsida; Malpighiales; Euphorbiaceae
Source: RNAcentral